RNAcentral lists this unclassified non-coding RNA (380 nucleotides) under uncultured Gemmatimonadaceae bacterium. Its description in RNAcentral is "contains 16S-23S intergenic spacer region". The record is from RNAcentral. Lineage: Bacteria; Pseudomonadati; Gemmatimonadota; Gemmatimonadia; Gemmatimonadales; Gemmatimonadaceae.
UCCGGUUUGGCACCGGCAGUCCCCCUAAAGUGCCCGGCUUUACCCGCUGGUAACUAGGGGCGGGGGUUGCGCUCGUUGCGGGACUUAACCCAACAUCUCACGACACGAGCUGACGACAGCCAUGCAGCACCUGUGCACGGACUCCGAAGAGGGGCUGCCCUUUCCGACAGCUUUCCCGUGCAUGUCAAGCCUAGGUAAGGUUCUUCGCGUUGCGUCGAAUUAAACCACAUGCUCCACCGCUUGUGCGGGCCCCCGUCAAUUCCUUUGAGUUUCAGCCUUGCGGCCGUACUCCCCAGGCGGGGCACUUAAUGCGUUAGCGCCGGCACUCAAGGGGUCGCUCCCCCAAGCACCUAGUGCCCAUCGUUUACGGCGUGGACUAC